UUCAUCCAUCCUCACAAUGUUCUGAGUUCAAAUUCUGCCGAAGUCGACUUUGUAUUUUAUACAUUCGGGAUCGAUGAGAUAAUUACCUGUUGAGUACUGGG
This is a long non-coding RNA of Octopus sinensis (East Asian common octopus), 101 nucleotides long. RefSeq lists it as uncharacterized. NCBI's taxonomy places the organism in Eukaryota, Metazoa, Mollusca, Cephalopoda, Octopoda, Octopodidae. The transcript has 3 exons. The record is from RefSeq and is a predicted model, not a curated record.